RNAcentral lists this ribosomal RNA (460 nucleotides) under uncultured bacterium. RNAcentral's name for it is "partial 16S ribosomal RNA". It matches the Rfam family "Bacterial small subunit ribosomal RNA", at positions 338 to 795 of the family's 1533-position model. The record is from RNAcentral.
CCUACGGGUGGCAGCAGUGAGGAAUAUUGGUCAAUGGACGCAAGACUGAACCAGCCAUGCCGCGUGCAGGAAGACGGUUCUAUGAGUUGUAAACCGCUUUUGUACGAGGGUAAACGCAGAUACGUGUAUCUGUCUGAAAGUAUCGUACGAAUAAGGAUCGGCUAACUCCGUGCCAGCAGCCGCGGUAAUACGGAGGAUUCAAGCGUUAUCCGGAUUUAUUGGGUUUAAAGGGUGCGUAGGCGGUCGGAUAAGUUAGAGGUGAAAUCCCGAGGCUCAACUUCGGAAUUGCCUCUGAUACUGUUCGGCUAGAGAGUGGUUGCGGUAGGCGGAAUGUGUGGUGUAGCGGUGAAAUGCAUAGAGAUCGUACAGAACACCGAUUGCGAAGGCAGCAUGCCAGGCUACUUCUGACGUUGAGGCACGAAAGCAUGGGGAGCGAACAGGAUUAGAUACCCGUGUAGUC